Molecule: long non-coding RNA, 8170 nt
Organism: Gallus gallus (chicken)
Lineage: Eukaryota; Metazoa; Chordata; Aves; Galliformes; Phasianidae
Exons: 2
Source: RefSeq, a predicted model, not a curated record
GACGAACCGCGCCCCGUGUGGCCAUGAAAUCCCGGGGUGCGGGUGAUUACGUUAAGUCAGUGCGUUAGCGUGAUUCCGCGCUCCCGCCGCCAUCGCUCAGCGUUCUGAAGGCUCGCUGCUUGGACGGCGCGCUUUGCCCGCCGCGUUUCUGCCUGCAGGAGGGAAGGAGCGCGAACGGCCCACAGCUGCGGGCUGCCCGCACCGGACGGGACACGGCGGCUGGUAAACGACCGCUGCGCUCGGAGGAGCCCCGUUGUGCCACAGCUUUAAGGCAACCACAGCUGGACUUGAGGCUUUCCAUUAAAGAAAUAAAAACAAAAAGAAGAGGUGAGGUAGAAAAGGCACAAACGCAGCCGGCAGCUCUUAGCAGAAUAAUGGGAUGAGAGAGAGGCUGUGUUCAGGGGCUCUCCACACGGAGUCUUUCCCAGUGGUGCGUGUGGCUGGAAGGAGCUCUGGCCGCACACGGGUGGGAUGCCAGCCCUCCUGGUUUCCCAUAUCAGUUCCUGGCAGCAGCUGUGGUCCGAGCAGCUCCUGACACAGCGGGUCUGGGUGGGACGGCGGGCCGGUGAGGUCCUGAAGGAACCGCAGGAAACUGCGUUUGUCCUGCGUGCCUGGAGGGGGAGAACGGCUUUGUGAAGCGCUGCAGCGCCUGCUUAGACAAGCGGUGCUUCUAAGCGGGUACUGCGCCGGCUGUAGCACAAGUGUGAGUUCUACAAACCUCGGAGCGGGAAAAUGCGAGAUGGUAAAAAAAUCAGGGCUUGCUGUGGCAGCCUAGGAGAGACGGUACAGAUAACCAGGUUAGCAGAGAGCACAUUUCAGAUCUUAGCUUGUUUUUCUCUACUAAGCUAAUGGUAUUUCAGAGCUUAUUUUCAUCUCUCCUCGACGUUUCACACUCCUUUAUGCAACUUUCAGACACUGUUUUGUCCUGUCCAAUACCCUCUGUUAAACAACUGGACAUCCUGAUGGCUUUCAUGUAUCAAAAAACCACAACUUAAUCAGUAAGUACUUCAGACAAAGGCACUGUAUAACUGGGGUAACUCAGCAUGAAGUAAUGCAACUAUGCAUCUGUCCUACCUGAUCAUUUCUUGUGGUAUGGGUUGGUCUGCUGCUUUGCUUUGGUUGCUGUGCAUUGUUACCCCUGAAAGGAAAACAGCGUCAUCAGGAAAAGCCCCGUUUGGAUUGGUAACAUGAAGGGAUGAAUGCUUACAAAGGGACCCAGCUAUAGAUCUCAUGUUUCUGACUUCACGCAUUCCUGAAUGUGACAAAUAACUUCCAUGUUCAUUGUCAUAAAAUCAUCAUAGAAUGGCCUGGGUUGAAAAGGAGCACAAUGAUGAUCUAGUUUUAACCCCCUGCUAUGUGCAGGGUCGCCAACCACCAGACCAGACUGCCCAGAGCCACAUCCAGCCUGGCCUUGAAUGCCUGCAGGGAUGGGGCAUCCACAGCCUCCUUGGGCAACCUGUUCAGUACGUCACCACCCAUGUUCUAUGCCCCUGUACCCAUGAACACAAUUACAAGUACCAAUUAGAAAAGUGUGGUGCAUUUUAAGAAGAAAAAAAUGCUUGAGAACUGACAAUCAGAGCAUCUGUAUGAAAGUACCCACAUUUACCAAUAGCAGGAUAGUCUCUUUCUUUGGGGAGCUACGUAAUAUUUUUUACACGAAGUGUCUAACUAGAUUGCUAAAUUAAUUUAGACCACCCUCACAAGCAUUGAAGUACACAUUUGUAAUAAGUAUAAUACCUGUGUUGCCUUCUACUUUUCCUGCAAAACUUUCUCUUUAUUGCAUCACGCUUAAUUACUGCUAUUACAAUCGCAAUCAAUAUUGGCAGCACAACGAAGAAGAAAAUAAGCAGACCGUCCCGAAGUGAUGUAUCUGGAGAAAAACAGGUGCAAUCGUGUAAGACAGUCAUCUUGGUUAACCUUAUAUGAAAGCAUUUUGCUGUUACAAAUACCUUUCUGAAUUACCAUCUUCAAAUUGUUAUAAAGCAAAACUAGUAAUUAGGAUUUGGACUUCCAUAAUCACAAAUUGUCCCUGCCUUACUCAGCCCCAUGCUGUAUGACAUACAGCAUUUUGCUUUUAGUCAACAGAUGUGAAACACUUUCCAUGGCCUCUCAGUGUAAAGGUCAGAAAUAUUGACUCCUUUUUCCCCUUUGCAUAAUUCCAUGGCUCUCAGCUGAGCAGUGAUGAUGCAGCACGCACCUCCUUCAUCCCUCUCACUGCAGUGACACCUUUUCCAUAUGUAAAGUCUGCUGGUUUCAUUCUCAAGCUAUAGCCUUACUGUAUUAUAUAUAUUUUAUCAGGCUUUAAGUAAUUAGCAACUAAAUAUCUAAACAUCUAAUUGUUUUCAAAUGUCAACGUAAUUUUAAGCAAUUAGUGUAUUGCUUUUUAUCUCAGACAAAACAGAUCCACUUCUCCCUUGGACCAGCUUUCAUGAUAUCUGCAGACCUACACAUCAGAUGCUGUUCAUUCUCCAAGGCAGUCACAACUGAGCAGUAGGGGGAAAAAAAAAGCUUUGGAAAAGAGACUGCAAACCACCCUGUAUGAGUAGAUAAAUUAAAUGGGACACUGGAGGCAAUAAGAAAGCAGUUUCAGAAUCAUACCCAUGUGAGUUGGACCACUGUCAAUACUGCCACCGUAGCCCGACUGGUUACAGAACGGAGGUGCCCAUCCAGAAUUGCAGUGGCAGUUCCCAUUGUUGUUACACACCUACAGCCAAUGCAAAAGGGAUUAGUCAAAUAAAGGCUUUUUGGAAGCGGCCACUUUCAACCUCUGACGUAUAUCUGAAGUUACACAUUAAGAACUGGAUGUAGAAGCAAUACUGCACAGUAUUGCAUAGAAGUAGAGGAAGUAUAAGCUCACUGCUUCCAUAACAUCCCAAAACACUGAGUGGAGGAACUUCUCAGUUCUGAAACUGUCAGACUCCAUUUUCAUUUUUCAGAGAAAUAUCUGAAUCCUGGAUCACCAGCCUGUUCUCCCCAGAGGAAUACUUUCCUCUUACAGUUUGACAGCUCAGAAAUGUUAGAAAAUUCCCGAGGGAAAUUUAGAAGAGACGUUUAGAAGUGCCUCUCAGUGUUAGUGCUAAGGUGUUUACAGUAUACUGCUAACAUGAAUUAUGGAUUAAAACAUGGAUUUAACUUCUAAUACAGAGCAGAAUAAAGCAAAGCCAUCUGUCAGGCUAUUGCUUUUAUAGAGGAAUUUUGCAGCUAUCUUCAAGAUAUAGGGCAUAAAAACACCAUCUACUCACCCCGUUGUCAUUACACUUCUGCUUUACAUCACAGCUGUAGCCCAGAUGACUUGCAUCAACACACUCAAAAGAUACACAGGCCUGGGAAAGUAUUCAGUGUCUUUUAAAUACAACAUUCCCCCCAAAUCCUAUCCAUUUUAUACAUAUACUAUAUAAUAAUAUACAUUUACAAGUCUACACAGCUUUUGCUUAUCGACCCUUUGCCUUGGCAUAUAGAACACUGAGUACUUAACAGUUUUAUAGCUGUAUUUAUCUCAGAUUUUCUUAAAUCUAUGGAUGCAGCUUGAUGGAAGUAAUUUGACUGAUAAGAUUGCUCACUAAUUUGUAACAUCACAGUUUUUUUUAAGAGCUAAUUAAUUGUGUGUGUAUAUCUGAAACAGCAGGUUCUUUAAUGACUUUACGGUAGACGAACAAGAGAACAGUUUAAUGCUUUUGAAAGUUAAGAGCUUUCCAGUUGGUGGAAUAUAUUGUGUAUGUAUGCUGAGAUUUGUCUUACCUUCUUUUCUCCACAUGCUGUUCCAUCAUGAACUUGAGCGGGAUCAGGGAUAUCUGAUCCUAAGUCAAAAUCAGAGGACCAGCAUAAAACCCCAGAUGCAUUAUUGACAACACUCCACGCAGGAAGAUUUUGAAGGCUAACAGAAGUGCACUGGAGCUUGCCACACAGACUGUGCCUGUAGUGAACAAAUGGCACUUGGAGAUAAGAUGAACAGCAAAAAAAUCACACACAAAAAAACCCCAGUAUAAAUGCAAAUACACCAUCCAGUCAAAUGUAGGCUGCAUUUUAAACAAAUAUUCUUGUCUUAAAUCUCAUGCUCUACAAGCUCAUACAGGAAUGUAUAUUUCACACUGGAGAUCUUAGGGGUGGCAUUGUUUAGUACUGACUUACUGAACAGGACACUUCUUGUACGCUCCACCUCUCAUUCCACAGUUUCCAAACCUAUCUCCUUUAAUAUUGGCUUUUUCAAAGCACAGAUCAGGUGCUUUUCGUGCCCCUGUAUGAAAAUUAGUGAAUCUUAGUAAGCCAUCAUGCUGUCUUAAAAAUAUGAGACAGAAAAAGCAAGCUAUGAGAUGUCCUGUAGAAGACAAGUUUUUUUUUUUUUUUUUUUUACAUUAAAUUAUAAACUUACCUUUUCCAUAUAUAGCUUCACACUGUGAAUCAUAGCUCUGACAUACUCCGUAGUAGCAAUAUGCUUUCAUGUUGUUGCAUGGGUAACCAUUCAUGAUAUAAACAUCAUCCGGGCAGUAGGCAUAGCUUCCAUUGCAGUACUCAGGGAGAUCACAGAAACCCAUUUUUGAUCUGCAUUCUGCUCCUGCUGCUUUAAACUAGAACAGGAGAAGAGUGCCACCUCACUUUUAUUUCAUAACAGCACAACUUCAAACAUGAAACAAUGACAGCUGAGAAUCUGUGAUGUUAAAGAAGACAAAAUAGGGUGGGUUUUUUUUUUUUUGGAUCAAUAUCUAAUGAAAGCCCAAAACUUCCCUCAGUUUCAUAGGGUGUAGCUACCAAGUUUUUGAGGUCAGUUUGCAGAAGGGCAGGGUAGGUCAUACAAACACACACACAAGCACAAAUUAAAAAGUAGCCAACAAUCAGAGACUUUGUAGAUGCCUGGGGUUGCAUAAUGGAAAUGACUGUUGCUGAAUGCCCUGAUUACUCCUUCCUCCUGUGAGGGAUGACACAGAGAUGACAUUCCAUUUCUAAGCUACAGAACUCAUUAGAGACAAUUUCUCUACUGCCAUGCUCUCUGCUGGUGAAGGUAGUUUGAUGUGGAACUAUGUCAAGAGAUACUAUGAGAUUCUUUUCCAACGUCUCCUAAAAAGCCAGCCUAGUAAUGAAUAUCAACUCAGCCUAAUAAAACAAAGCCUACCUUGCAGUUUUUGCAGCACAGUCCUUGUGCACAUUGCGAUCCAGAUGUAAGUUUGCAGGUGGCAGCAUCGCAGCAAGGGUUGGUGCAUUCCUAAGAACAGCCACGAAGAAGGGAACACGAUGUUUUUCCCUUGUGUAGCUAGGAAUGGAGCUGGUCAAGCCAAGCGCGUGGACAAACCAAACAUUACGUAUGCGAUCUGUCUUGCAUACUCUGAGAUUGAUAGCCUCUCACAGAAAGCAACAUACAGUCUGGCUGUGUUUUUUUUUUUUUUUUUUGAUGGGCUAUGCCAUAGGAAUAUAAGAUAGGUUUCCACUUUAAGUGGGCACUAAAGAAGCAGACCAGAUCGUUUUUUAAAUAACACUGCUUAUCCCACCCCGUCUUAUUUUCCCAUUACACUGGCAGUUUGAUGUAAAGAAAUGCUGAUAUCUUUUCUUGGCUUAGAAGAAGACCUAUGCAAUGGGUUUGCUGACAGCCUCUUGAUUUAUCAGUGUCUUUUUUGAGACACCUUUAUUUUCUCAAGAACAAGCCAACAUACCCCAUUCUUAGAAAGACAUUUUUGCAGUGUGAAUAUGACCAAAGUAAUUGUGUUUUGGGCUAAUUUUGAGGGCUACAGGUAAGAAACAUGUAAGUGCUACAAAAACUAGUAAUCUCUUUUAUGUAACAGAAAUCUCUACCUUGCUAAUACCAGCACAAAAACCAAUGGCAUUUUCACAUACUGUGCACUGAAAUGCACUUCUUUGUUAGGCAAUGACUCAAAGUUCUAUCAAGUCCAGUAGCUCUUAACUGAGUUCAUACCAAAACUGAUGUAUCAUUUUAGGCUUUUUUCCUAAAAUUUACCUUUACACAGCUUGCAAAAAUGGCCCCAGGUAUUAACACAAAUCAGGUGUACAACAAGUAUGAUAUAACACACAAGUACCCGGCUGAAUUUCAUUACCUGUGGUUUUCCACAGUCACAUUCUUCAUCAUUAUCAAUCACAUUGUUACCACAGACAGGCUCUUUGUAAACAUUACUUGUUUUGGGCGGAUUUCUGAGGCAGUUUCCUCCUCCAUUUAGAACAAGGUUCUCAAAAUCAUCAGCACUGCAGGAACUGAAAUUCCUGGACCCCCUGGAAAGCAUAAUAUUUUUUAUUAGAUUUUGCUUACAAAAGGACAAUUCAAUAAAAUCUUGUCACAUUUCCAAGUGUUAGGAGAGCUUGAAAUAUUUUCUUUUUACUUUAUUGUGUAUGAGAGUACUUCUAGAAAUAAAAAAAGAUUCUUCUUUUUUCAGAAGCACAAAAACCCACCAGAUUAUCCAUUCUUAUAUUCUAUACAAAAUAGGCUUUCAAAAUCCCUUGUUUGAACUGAGUCCAACAAUGCCUGAUUAAAAUACAUUCUGACCAGGUCAGAAAAUAGGUAACAAUUCAAAUAAACCAAAAUUAUAUCAAAUCCUAAGUCCAAAAAUUCACUCCAUGAUCAAAAUUUUCAAACAACUUCUCAUUCACAACAGUUCUUUGGUGUUCAUAGAAUCUUAUGAGUUUAUAAGACAGGCAGUGCAGAUGAAUAACAAUUAUUAAAUUAAAUGGAAUCUUACUUAUCUGUGCUGUGCAUAAUGUAGGAUGCAGGACACCUUUUAUCAUCAUGUUUCAUUCCAAGGUUAUGUCCCAGUUCGUGUGCAACUACUGUAGCAUGACGUAACACAUUGUUAUGAUUCAACUAAUAAAGAGAAUCAGUGUUAAAAAUUAUGACAGUACUACCUUUCCACCUACCCACUUAUUCAAGCCAUAGGUUUCUUAGAGGCUAUGAAGACAUUGCAAAAUUAUAUUGCAAUGCAAAAACAGCAAGAAAUGGCAGUUUGCCACUGUUUAUUUUCAGGUAGGGCCAAAUUCUGCUGCUUUUUCUAUUCCUUCCAACAGGACCAUACUCUGAUAGUAACACAGCCAGUCACGGGAAUGUACUUACAGUGCUGAUUGACCCUCCCUGCACCUGUGAGCAGACAGUACCCACAAAAGCCAUUCCAAUGGAUCCAUUGUAAGAGCCUCUCCCUCUGUGACAAAAGCAAUUUGAAGGCGAUGUUGAAAGAGUUGCUGAACUUUUAAGGUUUCUUCUAAAAGCCACUGAUGAAACAAAUACUGCAAAGCAUAAUUUGGUCUUCUUGAAGUCAAGAAGAAAGUUGUACAAUAUCAUGGUUUCACUGUAACUAAUAAUAUUGGGAUAACGUAGGUUGAAAAUAAUGACCAGUCACCAGAGUCUGCUGUAUCAGUGCUUUGAGUUGAUCAAACUACAAAGAAUGCAUUGCAUUUUAUGUUUUUUUUUUUUUUCCCAGGUUAAAGCAGUCUGGAAAUUGAGGGAAUUUUAUUCCAGUUAUAUUUUCAUUCAUAUAUGAAACAUGAAACAAAACCCACAGACGUUAGCAACUCUGGCAGCGUGGCUAGUUCUGCCACUAAAUGAAAACUUACAUUAUGAGAUGGCUGACAUCAUUUCUGGAUCGCUUGAGAAGAUCUUUCUGUCUCCAAGAAACGAAUCUACCCAGUACAUCUCCAGCUGAACCCUCCAUUACAGAAAUUUGGUUUUUAUCUGUCCAAAUUUCUAAUCCAACCAAAACAAUCUGGAUAUUUAAUGCACUGUACAUCUGGAAAGAGGGAAAGAAAGAAUUUAUCAGAACUCCCAACAGUUUGGGGUCCAUGAAAAUGUGAGCAACAAGGAAGUGCUCAGCCAAACCCACCUGCAGUGAUACCAUGCCAAAGCAAGGCUCUGCAGACCCUCAGCUACUGGGGCAGACUGAGGGAAUAGUUUGGACUGUAGCCCUCAGGAGAGAAACAAAAAAUGUAUUUACCCUCAAAAGCUCUUCCUUACUAGAGGUAUUGUUUGGUGAAAAUGCAUAUCUCACAGACUGCUUCACAAAUAUCUGCAUCUGACGAUGAAGGUUAUCAUUCAGCACACCACAAUGAAAAGGAGUAUGCUGCAUAUCUUCUAAGUGGUAAAACCUGUGUUCAAGUGUUCUGGAUGUGUUGAUCGGCUCCAUUCCAUACCAUUUGCCAGCAAUGUAGACAAUUCCUCUAACAAGCAUAAAAGAAGGAAGCAUUA